AGAGUUUGAUCAUGGCUCAGAACGAACGCUGGCGGCAGGCUUAACACAUGCAAGUCGAACGCUCGUGAGCGAUCACGGGAGUGGCAGACGGGUGAGUAACGCGUGGGAACAUACCCUCCGGUUCGGAAUAGCUCAGGGAAACUUGGAUUAAUACCGGAUACGCCCGCGGAUGAGAGUCCGCGGGGAAAGAUUGAUCGCCGGAGGAUUGGCCCGCGUUCGAUUAGCUUGUUGGUGAGGUAACGGCUCACCAAGGCGAUGAUCGAUAGCUGGUCUGAGAGGAUGAUCAGCCACAUUGGGACUGAGACACGGCCCAAACUCCUACGGGAGGCAGCAGUGGGGAAUAUUGGACAAUGGGCGCAAGCCUGAUCCAGCCAUGCCGCGUGAGUGAUGACGGCCUUAGGGUUGUAAAGCUCUUUCGCUCGGGACGAUAAUGACGGUACCGAGAGAAGAAGCCCCGGCUAACUUCGUGCCAGCAGCCGCGGUAAUACGAAGGGGGCUAGCGUUGUUCGGAAUUACUGGGCGUAAAGCGCGUGUAGGCGGGUCUUUAAGUCAGGGGUGAAAUGCCAAGGCUCAACCUUGGAACUGCCUUUGAUACUGGAGACCUUGAGUCCGGGAGAGGUGAGUGGAAUUGCGAGUGUAGAGGUGAAAUUCGUAGAUAUUCGCAAGAACACCAGUGGCGAAGGCGGCUCACUGGCCCGGGAACUGACGCUGAGACGCGAAAGCGUGGGGAGCAAACAGGAUUAGAUACCCCUGUAGUCC
RNAcentral lists this ribosomal RNA (759 nucleotides) under uncultured bacterium. RNAcentral's name for it is "bacterial SSU rRNA". It matches the Rfam family "Bacterial small subunit ribosomal RNA", at positions 8 to 796 of the family's 1533-position model. The record is from RNAcentral.